Long non-coding RNA from Oreochromis aureus, 2356 nucleotides. The record is from Ensembl. NCBI's taxonomy places the organism in Eukaryota, Metazoa, Chordata, Actinopteri, Cichliformes, Cichlidae.
CAAGAAAGAAAUGAGACAGAGAAGCACGAUGGAUGAAUUCAUAUGGAUUAAAAUGUUUUUAUGUCUGAUGCUGAUGAUUCAGAUUGCAGUAUCUGCAACUGAAACCUCAAUUUUUAUUAAAGCUGGAGAUGACGUCACUCUGCCUUGUCUAAAUGUAAUAGAUGACCAGAAGAACUGUGAUGGUACUACGUGGACCUUUGCUUCAAAAAACACAACAGCAAUAGAAGUGAUCACCUUUGGAGAGAUUGGUAAAAAAGCCCAAACUAAAUCAGACAGACUGAGUGUUACAGCGAACUGUUCUCUGGUUAUAAAGAAGCUCACGGAUGAGGAUGUUGGUUUUUAUUACUGUCAGCAGUACAAACUGGGAGAACGUAAACAUCUAGUUUCUGAGUUUUUGGUUGAUCUGGCUGUCAUCACAUUUGGGACAAACAAAACAAUGAAUCCAGCCAGAAAAACUGAAAGCAGCACAACCUCAGUAACAACCACAGCCGUGAAGGAUAUUUCACAAGAUUUUUCCGUCUCUUUGAGGUUCAUUAUUGUUUCGGUGGGUUUAGCAGCACUUUUAAUAACUGCUGUGACAGUCAACAUUAGGACAAGAACCAAAGGGAAUAAAACACGACGGAUAAAGCAAGGGGAACAAAACAGAGGACGAGGAUAAAAUCAAAGUAAGUACAAAACUCAGUAUUUCAAUGUAUAAGCGCUAAAAAAAAAACCCUAAAGGUUGACAGUGGACACAUUUGAAGCUGAUUGGCAGGUGGUACAGCAAAAGAACUUGAAAUAGAAAGCUGAACUACAAAAAGGGGAAAGCAGGAAAGUCAAAAUCACUGACACAAUACAAAGAGCAACAAAAGCAUCAAGUAUAUUAGAUAGAUAUUACUGAUAUUACUGUAGUUGUUAUAAGUUAUGCAGAGCCAAUAUAAAUAUAAAAACAAAAGCUCAAUGAGAAAAGUACUUUUAGUGUGGAAUGAAGUCUCUGUAGUUUCAUCAUAGAAAGAGAGUCGAGCUGAUUCGUCUCAGACUGACUGGAGAAAACAGCAAAAAAAAAAAAAAAUCAGACUUAAGUGUUGCAUUAGACUGUUCUCUGGUUAUAUACCACAUCACAGCUGGCGAUGCUGGUCGAUACACAUGCAGACACCACACAUCACUGUUGGGCCCAUAAGCAUUUAUAGACUUUACUGUUUAUCGGUCAGUCGUCAGAAGUGAAUAUUUGUGUCAUUCAAAUCAAAAUGUCCUGUUAGAACAACAAACUAAGAUGUUACAAUAAUUAUGAUCACAGAGAUGAAGUCCAUUGUCUUCAUUUUUGUUUUUCUCUCUCAAAAUGUCUCCAUCUGUAUGACUGAAGUGACUGAAUGUGAGAACAAUGGACAAGAUGGUAAUCCUGUCCUGCUGUGUGCUGGACUAUGACCCUUGUGAACGCGCAGUCGAGUCGGUGUAUGAUGGUGAAGAGAAAUCUCAGACAUGGAGAUGGCUUCACAAUCCUGCACUGACACUGUGACAUUCACAGCAUCUCACCUUGAUCAGAAGUUAAAGUUUUAUGAUUUUUUAAAAUGUAAUGUGAUGAAACAGAACAGUAACAAACUGCAGCCGUUUCCUUUCAGCCCCUAGUUGCCAGGUGGGGCAACAGGUUUACCAAUGCUGCUGAAGAUCAUCUCAACACAGACUCACAACAUCAUCUCCUUCUGCCUUUCCUCUUUCUCUCGCUCCGCUGUUUGUGUGUGGGACAGUAUGAGAGAUUCCUCUUCUGCUCCCCUGCUCCAUUUGGCUGGCACAUAUGUCUCAAAUCCCUAAUCAGAGCCUUUAAACAUUUGAUCAUAAAUUCAGUCCUCUCCAGAUUGUUCUGUUAGGUUUGUCUUUAGCAUCACUCAGUCUCAUCAAAAAAAAAAAAAAAACAAUUGUACUUUUCUUUGUGUUUCACUUGAUUUCUCCAGUCACUAAUUUUAAAUGUCCCGGGCCGUCUCCUCCAGACCAAAUACUUAGUCUUGGUAUCCCUGCCUGCUCUCUUUCUCCAUCACUCACCAAACCCAGAUGCAAGACCCAAUCCCCUCUCGCUUGCACAUUCUCCCUCAUUCCAGUGUUAAAGCCUGCUUCAGAGUCCACCUCUUUUACCAUAAUAAUUUUCAAUAUACAAUAUUUAAAAAAUGAAAUGUAGAUGUUAUUUUUUAAGCCAUUUUCUGAAAUGAAUGUGAAACCUUCCUGUAUUUAAAUUGGAAUAACACAACAGCAACCAUAGUUCAUAGUUGUAACAUCUACCUGUCAAAGUUUGAAUCCCUGACAGCUGUGAAAUCAUCACUCUGUGUUGUGUGGUUUGUAACAAUGUAUUUUGUUAUGGCUAAUGAUAAUAUAACUUGAUUUAUAA